RNAcentral lists this ribosomal RNA (497 nucleotides) under uncultured bacterium. RNAcentral describes it as "partial 16S ribosomal RNA". It matches the Rfam family "Bacterial small subunit ribosomal RNA", at positions 28 to 507 of the family's 1533-position model. The record is from RNAcentral.
GAUGAACGCUGGCGGCGUGCCUAAUACAUGCAAGUCGAGCGAACAGACGAGGAGCUUGCUCCUCUGACGUUAGCGGCGGACGGGUGAGUAACACGUGGAUAACCUACCUAUAAUACUGGGAUAACUUCGGGAAACCGGAGCUAAUACCGGAUAAUAUAUUCAACCGCAUGGUUCAAUAGUGAAAGACGGUUUUGCUGUCACUUAUAGAUGGAUCCGCGCCGCAUUAGCUAGUUGGUAAGGUAACGGCUUACCAAGGCAACGAUGCGUAGCCGACCUGAGAGGGUGAUCGGCCACACUGGAACUGAGACACGGUCCAGACUCCUACGGGAGGCGGCAGUAGGGAAUAUUCCGCAAUGGGCGCAAGCUUGACGGAGCAACGCCGCGUGAGUGAUGAAGGUCUUCGGAUCGUAAAACUCUGUUAUUAGGGAAGAACAAAUGUGUAAGUAACUAUGCACGUCUUGACGGUACCUAAUCAGAAAGUCACGGCUAACUACGUG